RNAcentral lists this ribosomal RNA (335 nucleotides) under Acinetobacter baumannii. Its description in RNAcentral is "bacterial SSU rRNA". It matches the Rfam family "Bacterial small subunit ribosomal RNA", at positions 1 to 327 of the family's 1533-position model. The record is from RNAcentral. Lineage: Bacteria; Pseudomonadati; Pseudomonadota; Gammaproteobacteria; Moraxellales; Moraxellaceae.
UUAAUGAGAGUUUGAUCCUGGCUCAGGACGAACGCGGGCGGCGUGCCUAAUACAUGCAAGUAGAACGCUGAAGAGAGGAGCUUGCUCUUCUUGGAUGAGUUGCGAACGGGUGAGUAACGCGUAGGUAACCUGCCUUGUAGCGGGGGAUAACUAUUGGAAACGAUAGCUAAUACCGCAUAACAAUGGAUGACACAUGUCAUUUAUUUGAAAGGGGCAAUUGUUCCACUACAAGAUGGACCUGCGUUGUAUUAGCUAGUAGGUGAGGUAAUGGCUCACCUAGGCGACGAUACAUAGCCGACCUGAGAGGGUGAUCGGCCACACUGGGACUGAGACAC